GACGAACGCUGGCGGCGUGCUUAACACAUGCAAGUCGAACGAAAAUACCAAGCUUGCUUGGUUGAUUAGUGGCGAACGGGUGAGUAACACGUGAGUAACCUGCCCCUUACUUUCCUGGAUAACUGCUCGAAAGGGUAGCUAAUACGGGAUAUUCUGACCAUCCUGCAUGGGUUGGUUUGGAAAGGUUGUUUUUCUGGUAAGGGAUGGGCUCGCGGCCUAUCAGCUUGUUGGUGGGGUGAUGGCCUACCAAGGCUUUGACGGGUAGCCGGCCUGAGAGGGUGGACGGUCACACUGGGACUGAGAUACGGCCCAGACUCCUACGGGAGGCAGCAGUGGGGAAUAUUGCACAAUGGGCGCAAGCCUGAUGCAGCGACGCCGCGUGAGGGAUGAAGGCCUUCGGGUUGUAAACCUCUUUCGUCAGGGAACAAGGCGCCGUCUUUUGGUGGUGUUGAGGGUACCUGGAUAAGAAGCGCCGGCUAACUACGUGCCAGCAGCCGCGGUAAUACGUAGGGCGCAAGCGUUGUCCGGAAUUAUUGGGCGUAAAGAGCUCGUAGGCGGCUGGUCGCGUCUGUCGUGAAAACUUCCGGCUCAACCGGGGGCUUGCGGUGGGUACGGGCCGGCUAGAGUGCGGUAGGGGUAACUGGAACUCCUGGUGUAGCGGUGGAAUGCGCAGAUAUCAGGAAGAACACCGAUGGCGAAGGCAGGUUACUGGGCCGUUACUGACGCUGAGGAGCGAAAGCGUGGGGAGCGAACAGG
RNAcentral lists this ribosomal RNA (756 nucleotides) under uncultured Actinomyces sp. Its description in RNAcentral is "bacterial SSU rRNA". It matches the Rfam family "Bacterial small subunit ribosomal RNA", at positions 28 to 776 of the family's 1533-position model. Lineage: Bacteria; Bacillati; Actinomycetota; Actinomycetes; Actinomycetales; Actinomycetaceae. The record is from RNAcentral.